Molecule: transfer RNA, 86 nt
Filed under: Thermosinus carboxydivorans Nor1
Lineage: Bacteria; Bacillati; Bacillota; Negativicutes; Selenomonadales; Sporomusaceae
Description: tRNA-Leu
Rfam family: tRNA
About the family: Transfer RNA (tRNA) molecules are approximately 80 nucleotides in length. Their secondary structure includes four short double-helical elements and three loops (D, anti-codon, and T loops).
Source: RNAcentral
GCCGGAGUGGCGGAACGGCAGACGCAGCUGACUCAAAAUCAGCCGGGGAUUUCCCCGUGGGGGUUCAAGUCCCUUCUCCGGCACCA